UACGGAAGGCAGCAGUGGGGAAUAUUGCACAAUGGGCGCAAGCCUGAUGCAGCCAUGCCGCGUGUAUGAAGAAGGCCUUAGGGUUGUAAAGUACUUUCAUCGGGGAGGAAAAAACAAAACUAAUAAUUUUAUUUUCUUGACGUUACCCGAAAAAGAAGCACCGGCUAACUCCGUGCCAGCAGCCGCGGUAAUACGGAGGGUGCUAGCGUUAAUCAGAAUUACUGGGCGUAAAGAGCACGUAGGUGGUUUUUUUAAGUUCAGAUGUGAAAUCCCUGGGCUUAACCUAGGAACUGCAUUUUGAAACUGAAAUACUAGAGUAUCGUAGAGGGAGGUAGAAUUCUAGGUGUAGCGGUGAAAUGCGUAGAUAUCUGGAGGAAGUACCUGUGGCGAAAGCGGCCUCCUAAACGAAUACUGACACUGAGGGUGCGGAAAGCGUGGGGAGCAAACAGGGAUUUAGGAUACC
This 463-nucleotide ribosomal RNA is filed under the name uncultured bacterium. Its description in RNAcentral is "bacterial SSU rRNA". It matches the Rfam family "Bacterial small subunit ribosomal RNA", at positions 340 to 786 of the family's 1533-position model. The record is from RNAcentral.